UAGGGAAUCUUCCACAAUGGACGCAAGUCUGAUGGAGCAACGGCCGCGUGAGUGAAGAAGGUUUUCGGACCGUAAAGCUCUGUUGUUGGUGAAGAAGGAUAGAGGUAGUAACUGGCCUUUAUUUGACGGUAAUCAACCAGAAAGUCACGGCUAACUACGUGCCAGCAGCCGCGGUAAUCGUAGGUGGCAAGCGUUGUCCGGAUUUAUUGGGCGUAAAGCGAGCGCAGGCGGAAGAAUAAGUCUGAUGUGAAAGCCCUCGGCUUAACCGAGGAAUUGCAUCGGAAACUGUUUUCUUGAGUGCAGAAGAGGAGAGUAGAACUCCAUGUGUAGCGGUGGAAUGCGUAGAUAUAUGGAAGAAUACCAGUGGCGAAGGCGGCUCUCUGGUCUGCAACUGACGCUGAGGCUCGAAAGCAUGGGUAGCGAACAGGAUUAGAUACCCUGGUAGUCCAUGCCGUAAACGAUGAGUGCUAAGUGUUGGGAGGCUUCCGCCUCUCAGUGCUGCAGCUAACGCAUUAAGCACUCCGCCUGGGGGAGUACGACCGCAAGGUUGAAACUCUA
Molecule: ribosomal RNA, 558 nt
Filed under: uncultured bacterium
Lineage: Bacteria
Description: partial 16S ribosomal RNA
Rfam family: Bacterial small subunit ribosomal RNA
Source: RNAcentral